GUACACUCCUACGGGAGGCAGCAGUGGGGUAUAUUGGACAAUGGGCGCAAGCCUGAUCCAGCCAUGCCGCGUGAGUGAUGAAGGCCCUAGGGUUGUAAAGCUCUUUCACCGGUGAAGAUAAUGACGGUAACCGGAGAAGAAGCCCCGGCUAACUUCGUGCCAGCAGCCGCGGUAAUACGAAGGGGGCUAGCGUUGUUCGGAUUUACUGGGCGUAAAGCGCACGUAGGCGGACUAUUAAGUCAGGGGUGAAAUCCUGGGGCUCAACCCCGGAACUGCCUUUGAUACUGGUAGUCUUGAGUUCGAGAGAGGUGAGUGGAAUUCCGAGUGUAGAGGUGAAAUUCGUAGAUAUUCGGAGGAACACCAGUGGCGAAGGCGGCUCACUGGCUCGAUACUGACGCUGAGGUGCGAAAGCGUGGGGAGCAAACAGGAUUAGAUACCCCUGUAGUCCCAUGAU
RNAcentral lists this ribosomal RNA (454 nucleotides) under uncultured organism. RNAcentral describes it as "partial 16S ribosomal RNA". It matches the Rfam family "Bacterial small subunit ribosomal RNA", at positions 331 to 801 of the family's 1533-position model. The record is from RNAcentral.